AACGAACGCUGGCGGCAUGCCUAACACAUGCAGGUCGAACGAGACCUUCGGGUCUAGUGGCGCACGGGUGCGUAACACGUGGGAAUCUGCCCUUUGCUUCGGAAUAACAGUUAGAAAUGACUGCUAAUACCGGAUGAUGUCGAAAGACCAAAGAUUUAUCGGCAAAGGAUGAGCCCGCGUAGGAUUAGGUAGUUGGUGGGGUAAAGGCCUACCAAGCCGACGAUCCUUAGCUGGUCUGAGAGGAUGAUCAGCCACACUGGGACUGAGACACGGCCCAGACUCCUACGGGAGGCAGCAGUGGGGAAUAUUGGACAAUGGGCGAAAGCCUGAUCCAGCAAGGCCGCGUGAGUGAUGAAGGCCUUAGGGUUGUAAAGCUCUUUUACCAGGGAUGAUAAUGACAGUACCUGGAGAAUAAGCUCCGGCUAACUCCGU
RNAcentral lists this ribosomal RNA (432 nucleotides) under uncultured bacterium. RNAcentral's name for it is "partial 16S ribosomal RNA". It matches the Rfam family "Bacterial small subunit ribosomal RNA", at positions 29 to 506 of the family's 1533-position model. The record is from RNAcentral.